AGUGAACGCUGGCGGUAGGCCUAACACAUGCAAGUCGAACGGCAGCACAGUAAGAGCUUGCUCUUACGGGUGGCGAGUGGCGUACGGGUGAGGAAUACAUCGGAAUCUACUUUUUCGUGGGGGAUAACGUAGGGAAACUUACUCUAAUACCGCAUACGACCUACGGGUGAAAGCAUGGGAUCUUCGGACCUUGCGCGAUUGAAUGAGCCGAUGUCGGAUUAGCUAGUUGGCGGGGUAAAGGCCCACCAAGGCGACGAUCCGUAGCUGGUCUGAGAGGAUGAUCAGCCACAUUGGAACUGAGACACGGUCCAGACUCCUACGGGAGGCAGCAGUGGGGAAUAUUGGACAAUGGGCGCAAGCCUGAUCCAGCCAUACCGAGUGGGUGAAGACGGCCUUCGGGUUGUAAAGCCCUUUUGUUGGGAAAGAAAAGCAGCAGGUUAAUACCCCGCUGUUCUGACGGUACCCAAAGAAUAAGCACCGGCUAACUUCGUG
This 492-nucleotide ribosomal RNA is filed under the name uncultured bacterium. RNAcentral's name for it is "partial 16S ribosomal RNA". It matches the Rfam family "Bacterial small subunit ribosomal RNA", at positions 29 to 507 of the family's 1533-position model. The record is from RNAcentral.